AGCUUCAAUAAACCAGCCUCCCUUUUCGCCACUCGGCACGCUCAAAAAAGAAAGCACGGACGCCAUUCGGGGAACCAAAAACACGAUGGCCGGCAACUACCGCCGCACCAUCUCGUUCCCGACCCCGAAGACCUCCGCCAAUGGCAAGCUGGCGACCGCCUACCGCGUCCGCUCGGCCAGCCUCCUUCCGCUUCCACCCGCUCGUCCUGCAGCUCGACGACGACGUCGCCGCGUUGCGCCUCG
This 243-nucleotide long non-coding RNA is filed under the name Brachypodium distachyon (stiff brome). RNAcentral describes it as "long non-coding RNA (BDIS_LNC005989)". The record is from RNAcentral. Lineage: Eukaryota; Viridiplantae; Streptophyta; Magnoliopsida; Poales; Poaceae.